Molecule: ribosomal RNA, 305 nt
Filed under: uncultured bacterium
Lineage: Bacteria
Description: bacterial SSU rRNA
Rfam family: Bacterial small subunit ribosomal RNA
Source: RNAcentral
CCUACGGGGGGCAGCAGUGGGGAAUAUUGCACAAUGGGGGGAACCAGCCAAGUCGCGUGAGGGAUGACGGUCCUAUGGAUUGUAAACCUCUUUUGUCAGGGAGCAAAGGGCGCCACGUGUGGCGCUUUGCGAGUACCUGAAGAAAAAGCAUCGGCUAACUCCGUGCCAGCAGCCGCGGUAAUACGGAGGAUGCGAGCGUUAUCCGGAUUUAUUGGGUUUAAAGGGUGCGCAGGCGGAAUGUCAAGUCAGCGGUAAAAUUUCGGGGCUCAACCCCGUCGUGCCGUUGAAACUGGCGUUCUUGAGUG